Salvelinus sp. IW2-2015 is the source of this 301-nucleotide long non-coding RNA. RefSeq lists it as uncharacterized. The record is from RefSeq and is a predicted model, not a curated record. NCBI's taxonomy places the organism in Eukaryota, Metazoa, Chordata, Actinopteri, Salmoniformes, Salmonidae.
UCUUGUUGUGUGGUGUUGUCUCUCAGUUGGACCCGUGGGUGACCCAAGAUGGCUGUGACCCUUACCUCAGAGAGGAACACUGUACCGUGGUGAGGUCACUGAGGAGGAGUGCAGAACUCUGUCAAGUUUGUCCCCAGCCUUUCUGCUGUGAUCCUGGUGAAGGCCAUGCUGCGGAAGAGGUCGUUCGGUAACCCCUUUGAGUCCCAGAAGUAGAGAGGAGAGGUCCAUGUCUGCACCUGGCAACCUGUUAAUGGAUGUGUGGCCGUUCCGCCACUCUUUAAAACUCCACCCCUCUCUAAGG